Small nuclear RNA from Onychomys torridus (southern grasshopper mouse), 104 nucleotides. Lineage: Eukaryota; Metazoa; Chordata; Mammalia; Rodentia; Cricetidae. The record is from RefSeq and is a predicted model, not a curated record.
AUAACAUUUGCAACACAUAUACUAAAAUCGGAAUGAUAUAGAGAAGAUUAGCAUAGACCCUGUGAAAGGAUGACCCACAAAUUUAUGAAAUGUUCCAUAUUUUU